UAUAUAUUCCAUGAUUGCAUGACCUUCAUAUGGCCUUACAUCUCCAUUACAUUUGCUACUAUUUCUGUAUUUGUAGAAUGAAAAUCAAGGACAAUAUACUGGAGAUGGAUCUGUCGACAUUCAUGGAAACCCCGUUUUAAAGAACAGCACAGGCAAUUGGAGAGCAUGCCCUUUCAUUUUAGGUAUUCACAAUAACUAACCACAGACAAGUUUAAUCCUUUUCUCUAACUGAGAUGCAUUAAAUCAUUCCUUAUUUUCACAUUACAAAUUAUAGGGAAUGAAUGUUGUGAACGUUUAGCUUACUAUGGAAUAGCUACAAAUCUUGUCACUUACCUAAAGAACAAGCUACAUGAGGGGAAUGCCUCUGCUGCACGAAAUGUCACAACAUGGCAAGGAACCUGCUAUAUUACGCCAUUGCUUGGUGCAAUUUUAGCUGAUGCAUACUGGGGAAGAUACUGGACAAUUGCAGUGUUCUCAACUAUAUACUUUGUUGUAAGUAUGCUAGUUGCAGAUGUUCUUUACUGUAAUGAGUGGAUGCUCUUUUCUUUUGUUCAAAUGUAAUAUGAUCAUUGAUGCUUUAUUAAAUGUAGGGAAUGGCCACAUUGACCCUUUCAGCAUCAGUUCCUGCUUUUAAGCCUUCACCAUGUGUUGAAUCUGUUUGCCCAGAAGCAAGUGCAGUUCAAUAUGCUAUUUUCUUUUUUGGACUCUAUCUAAUUGCACUGGGGACCGGUGGAAUUAAACCUUGUGUUUCUUCGUUUGGAGCUGACCAAUUUGAUGAUACUGAUCCGAGAGAGCGAAUGAAGAAGGGAUCCUUUUUUAAUUGGUUUUACUUCUCUAUUAACAUUGGUGCUCUCAUAUCCAGCAGCUUUCUAGUUUGGGUGCAAGACAAUUGUGGAUGGGGCUUGGGCUUUGGAAUUCCUACAUUGUUUAUGGGAUUAGCUAUAAUUAGUUUUUUCUUUGGUACUCCACUUUAUAGAUUCCAAAAACCAGGAGGAAGCCCUCUUAUAAGAAUGUGCCAGGUGGUGGUUGCCUCUUUUCGCAAGUGGAAAGUGGAUGUGCCUCAUGACAGUUGUCUCCUAUAUGAAGUGCCUGAGAAGGCUUCAGCAAUUAAAGGAAGUCGAAAGCUGGAGCACACAGAUGAAAUUAAGUAAUUCUCUUAACUUCCGCAACCAGUUUCGUUGAGGUUUCUUUAUGCAUAUCUUGAUUGAUUCUUGAUUUCAUGCUUCAUUUGCUAUAGUUCUUCAAAGAACUAAAUCAAGAACCGAAUUUAUCCACAAGACUUGAAUGCCAAUCUGCUUUUGAAGUUCUAUUGUCUUUCUUCUCUUGUUAUCCUAGGAGUUCUAUGUUUUCAGUGGUUAAUCAGUUGUAAAACUGCAAUGUGGAUCCUUUUGUACGACAGCAUUUUUUAAGUUGCAGAUUGGUAAAAUUUUUAUCAGUGAAAAGUGUUGCUUAAAUCUGGACUUUCCUUUAGGUUUAUAUGUACUAGAUGAUAUAUUAAUGAUAAAAUAUCUCCUUGAUGAUGCUUCAACUGGUAGACAAGGUUGCUGAGUGACAAGUUGUCCAAUAAAUCUUGCAUCAAACUGAUAUUGCCUCGAUGAGAAAUUAACUUAUGAAGUUUCAGCUUCAAUUAUAUCGUGCCUAGUGCUUAAUGGAUUUCAAUACUUGAAUACUCUCUUAAGAAAGUGCUUAAUGGAUUUCAAUACUUGAAUACUCUCUUAAGACUGGUGGGCUCUAUGAUAAUUCUAUCAUAUAGUUGGGUAAUGAAAUAUGUUUGUGUCAGAAGCAAUGUGGUGUACGUUACAGGAUGUUUGUCAAGAGCACCCCACGGCGAUAGUAGGUUAAGCCAUUUUGUGAGAUGAGAUAUUACUGUUCAUAGUAGUAAUACUAAAGACCAACUCUGAUAUUAUAGAAACUAGUUUUUUUUUCAGAAAUUAUCUCCUGCUUAUUUUCAUAUGCCAUUAACUGUGCUGAUUCCUAGUGUGCAUGAUAUUGGAUUAUGUGUAACUAUUAUCUUUUGCAGGUUCCUUGACAAGGCUGCUACAGUGACGGAUCUCGAUACAAAGACUGAAAGUUUUUCGAACCCAUGGCGGUUGUGUACAGUCACUCAGGUGGAAGAACUGAAGAUUCUGGUGAGGAUGUUCCCUGUUUGGGCAACCACCAUAGUGUUCUCUGCAGUAUAUGCACAGAUAUCUACUAUGUUUGUCGAACAAGGGAUGGUCAUGGACACGAGUAUAGGCUCCUUCACCAUUCCACCUGCAUCUCUAUCAACCUUUGAUGUCAUCAGUGUCAUUGUGUGGGUGCCAAUCUAUGAUAGAAUUCUUGUUCCGGUGGCAAGGAGAUUCACAGGCAAGGAGAGAGGUUUUUCAGAAUUGCAAAGGAUGGGUAUUGGCCUGUUCAUAUCUAUACUAGCAAUGGCAGCAGCUGCAGUGGUGGAGAUCAGGCGACUUGACAUUGCCAAGGCGGAAGGUUUAGUGUCCGAGAAAGUGGCCAUUCCAUUAAGCAUCUUUUGGCAGACACCUCAAUACUUUUUGGUCGGAGCAGCGGAAGUAUUCACAUUCAUUGGGUCACUGGAGUUCUUCUAUGAUCAGUCUCCUGAUGCUAUGAGAAGUCUGUGCAGUGCGUUAUCACUUCUUACCACUGCGCUGGGGAACUACCUGAGUUCCUUCAUCUUGACUGUCGUGACAUCGGUAACAACUCGAGGAGGGAGGACAGGAUGGAUUCCCGAUAACUUGAACGAAGGGCACCUCGACUACUACUUCUGGCUGCUCACGGGGCUGAGCUUCUUGAAUCUUUUGAUAUAUGUUGCCUGUGCUAAUAGGUACAAAAGCAAGAGGGCUUCUUGAGUUCCAAAGAACUGCAGGGUACCAUCAUUCAUGAAACACCGACCUGUACAUUUGUUGUGGUGUCUGUUUGGUGACUGAUUUAAGUGUUUCUUCCCUAUGUCAUCCCUCUGGAUUGAACAGUUGCUUCAUUUCAAUUACCACAGACAGUUCUCUAAUUGCAGAUAGUCUGUGUCAA
This 3018-nucleotide long non-coding RNA is filed under the name Musa acuminata (dwarf banana). RNAcentral describes it as "long non-coding RNA (MACU_LNC005541)". Lineage: Eukaryota; Viridiplantae; Streptophyta; Magnoliopsida; Zingiberales; Musaceae. The record is from RNAcentral.